GUUUAAGGAAAUGGAAAUUUGGUUUUUAAAAGGUAAAAUUUUAAUAUUAUAUUAUAUUAAGAGUAAAGAUUGGGAUUAAAAAAGAGGGAAAGAAAUUGCUGGACAAACAAUUUGAACUGGAAUACAAAAGAGGGAGGUACGAGGAGGUCCAGAAAAUAAGUAAAUUUAAAAAUGGAGAUGAAAAGGUGAUAUUGUUUUUAAUUGUUCUAUUUUCUUUUUUGUCUUUUGUGUUUUUUGUUCCUUUUUUUUCUUUUGGAUUAUGUAUUGUGUAUUUUUGAAUUGUGUAUUUCUUUUUUAUGUUUUAUGUUUAAUCUUUUAUUGAAACUUUAAUAAAUAUCAUUU
Molecule: non-coding RNA, 342 nt
Organism: Podarcis lilfordi (Lilford's wall lizard)
Lineage: Eukaryota; Metazoa; Chordata; Lepidosauria; Squamata; Lacertidae
Source: the annotation of a GenBank genome assembly